GCCAGCGGCGAGCGAUAGCAUGUUAGAAGCACCAAUUCCCAAUGGAUCACUGAAGCAACGUUGUGCGUGGUUGGUAUCUGGAUGGGUGACCAUCUGGAUAAUCGUGUGCUGCUGGCU
RNAcentral lists this ribosomal RNA (117 nucleotides) under Diaphorina citri (Asian citrus psyllid). The record is from RNAcentral. Lineage: Eukaryota; Metazoa; Arthropoda; Insecta; Hemiptera; Psyllidae.